GUGGGGAAUAUUGGGCAAUGGGCGAAAGCCUGACCCAGCAACGCCGCGUGAAGGAAGAAGGUUUUCGGAUCGUAAACUUCUAUCCUUGGUGAAGAUAAUGACGGUAGCCAAGAAGGAAGCCCCGGCUAACUACGUGCCAGCAGCCGCGGUAAUACGUAGGGGGCAAGCGUUGUCCGGAAUGAUUGGGCGUAAAGGGCGCGUAGGCGGCCCGGUAAGUCUGAAGUGAAAGUCCUGCUUUUAAGGUGGGAAUUGCUUUGGAUACUGUCGGGCUUGAGUGCAGGAGAGGUAAGCGGAAUUCCCGGUGUAGCGGUGAAAUGCGUAGAGAUCGGGAGGAAAACCAGUGGCGAAGGCGGCUUACUGGACUGUAACUGACGCUGAGGCGCGAAAGUGUGGGGAGCAAACAGGAUUAGAAACCCGUGUAGUCC
This 425-nucleotide ribosomal RNA is filed under the name uncultured bacterium. RNAcentral describes it as "partial 16S ribosomal RNA". It matches the Rfam family "Bacterial small subunit ribosomal RNA", at positions 354 to 796 of the family's 1533-position model. The record is from RNAcentral.